GGGCCGGCGCCGCCCGCGCCGCGGAGCUUGUGAGGGAUGCGGUGCCUCGCUCCCCGUGAGGCCGAUCCCUUACGAGCUUUAAAUUAUUCAGUCGGGACGCUGUCGCGUGAGACACCGGCUCCCGCCGGCUCCAACAAAAGCCGUCCUUAAUGUUUUAUAGGGGGAUACAGGAGAUACGCUGUUUGACACAGACGCAGUCCGGGGGGAAGGUGGCGGUGGCCACGGCCCUGCUUUCUGUCAGCGCGCUUCCUCGGACUGGCUGGGUCGUCAUUACUUGAUUUUCGGAAGCUGUUCUGACUUUCAGAAAGAAAAACUGAGUCCUCCAAGGAGCUUCCUUUUUUCAACAUUUUAAUGGAGCUAACUGCAGACUUAGAGUUGAAGUAUCCCUGUUUGGGGAUGAAAUCAGAGAAGUUCAGGAAGACAAAAUGCACCACAAGGAUUUUUGAAUUUCACUCCAUCUCUGCAGCUGAAGAAAAAUAUUCUCUGUAAAGUAUCUGGUUAAUCAGAUAGACCUUGAAUGUUCUCCCCUCUCACCACUUCAAAAACAGACCUGAAAGCCUCUGUGCUUACACUUUUACUUGUAUGCUAAAUUCUGAACCUAGAAGGAUUUUCUUGAAAAAAGGCUGCUUGAGUAGAAAGAAAUCAGAUUACUAGCAGACAAUUUCAAACAGCGAUGGGAGGGAUGGACUGCCAAAAUAUAAAGAAGCAUAUGUUCAUAUGAAUGAGGAAAGUAGAAGAUAAAAGUGCAUUAUGUACAUGCUCUGCAGGAUUUAAAAUAAGGUAUGAAGGAAUAUUAGAGUGUGCAGCUUAAUGUGAAAUAUGCUCUAAGGCAGGUACAGAGAUUA
Non-coding RNA from Zonotrichia albicollis (white-throated sparrow), 845 nucleotides. The record is from RefSeq and is a predicted model, not a curated record. Lineage: Eukaryota; Metazoa; Chordata; Aves; Passeriformes; Passerellidae.